UACGGGGGGUGCGAGCGUUGUCCGGAAUCACUGGGCGUAAAGGGCGCGUAGGUGGUUUGAUAAGGGUGUGGUGAAAGCCCGGGGCUCAACCCCGGGUCUGCCGUGCCGACUGUUAAACUCGAGGGCUGUAGAGGCAGACGGAAUUCCGGGUGUAGCGGUGGAAUGCGUAGAGAUCCGGAGGAAGACCGGUGGCGAAGGCGGUCUGCUGGGCAGUUUCUGACACUGAUGCGCGACAGCGUGGGGAGCGAACAGG
This 253-nucleotide ribosomal RNA is filed under the name uncultured bacterium. Its description in RNAcentral is "partial 16S ribosomal RNA". It matches the Rfam family "Bacterial small subunit ribosomal RNA", at positions 524 to 776 of the family's 1533-position model. The record is from RNAcentral.